RNAcentral lists this transfer RNA (71 nucleotides) under Bos taurus (domestic cattle). It matches the Rfam family "tRNA". From Rfam's summary of the family: Transfer RNA (tRNA) molecules are approximately 80 nucleotides in length. Lineage: Eukaryota; Metazoa; Chordata; Mammalia; Artiodactyla; Bovidae. The record is from Rfam by way of RNAcentral. RNAcentral also lists the same sequence under 2 other names.
UCCCUGGUGGCUGAGUGUUAAAGAAUCUGCCUGCAAUGCAGAAGACCAGGGUUCGAUCCCUGGGUUGGGAA